UGCUUUGGACAUAUCGAUGUUGUAAACAUAUAUUAUAUCUAAAUAUCAGUAUCCUAUCGCAAAUUAUACCUAAAAACUGUUUAUUUAUAGUUAUGAAUAUAUAGUAUAUGUAUAUACUUAUAUAGAAUAGGAAAUAAAUCAUUUUUUGUUAUUUAAUUAUAACUUAUAAGAUAUAUGGGUGGAAGCUAAUUUCACAUAUAAUAUUUUCUUCUCUAUUACAAUUGAUUUGAUACUAUUUCUCACUGACGAUAACAUUUUUUAUGGUACAACACAUACAUGACGUAUAUUCUCUGCUCAACGUUAUUCAUUUAUUCACUAUAAUAACAUUAUACUAUAACACUAUGAUGUAAAGGUUGUGAGACCGUUGUUGUUGUUUUUGGCAUUCUAAUGAUGGAAAGUAGACCGCUUCUAAUGAGAGAGAGUUUAAUGCCUUUAAUGAAACGAUACGUUGUCGACCAUUUCCACACACCUCCAGGUUCGUGUAUAUUUGUAUAGCUAAUAAUUCGAGUAGGGUAUUUUCAAUCAUAUAAAUACGGGUUGUAUCAGUAUAUUCGAUAUCACUCGUUUACUACUCGCAAUCGAUAACAAGUGCUCUAAGUACGACUGUUGUACGGAUAAAUACGAAAAGAACGACGACGACGACGACGACGACGACGAUAGAGACUACUACGAGACUUAGGAAUACGAGAGGGAAUCACCUUCAUUAUUUUUUUUUUACGAAAAAUUGAGAUAAUAUGGAAAGUUUAAAGAAAAGCUUGACGACGCAGUCGAAUACACGAUUCAUGUCCGUGGGGGAUCUGACUAUUAACUUUCCAUACCCGAUCAUACGAAUGGAAAAUCGGGAUACUCAAUAUGGACUGACCGUCCACUGUGUACUAGAGUGCGGUGAAGAUGGCGGACUAAUAGAAGUGUAUCUCCCAAGAUCCAUAAAAAUCGGCGAUGAGGAGGUGAGGGAAUUCAACCGGGGCGGAGAAAAUAGGAUGUUAAAUCUGAUCUUCAAAGGACGGCGAGGACGGUCAUUUAACAUCGGAUUUCAAUAG
Long non-coding RNA from Aphis gossypii (cotton aphid), 1040 nucleotides. RefSeq lists it as uncharacterized. The record is from RefSeq and is a predicted model, not a curated record. Lineage: Eukaryota; Metazoa; Arthropoda; Insecta; Hemiptera; Aphididae. The transcript has 2 exons.